Saccostrea echinata is the source of this 425-nucleotide long non-coding RNA. RefSeq lists it as uncharacterized. The record is from RefSeq and is a predicted model, not a curated record. The transcript has 4 exons. NCBI's taxonomy places the organism in Eukaryota, Metazoa, Mollusca, Bivalvia, Ostreida, Ostreidae.
AGCGGGUCUCAUCGGUAUUCUCUGGUAUUUUUGACGAAAAUAUGCAACCAGUGAUCAGUUGAAUUGAUACCUUUUCAUCUACCAGAAGAUUUAAGGAGGUUAUUGCUUGGAAAACUGCUCGAGCUCCCGGGCUGGCAUGCACUGCAGGUACAGUGAAAUCAAUUAUGCAGGUUCUUGAAGAAAGUCAUGGAUGACAACAAUGUAUGAAUUACCAGACCAAGGGAUACCAAUGUUUUUUUGACGGUAUACUUGCUCCAGCUACUCAGCUUACUGUGAGAGAGUUAACACCUUAUUGACAUAUCUUUCAUGAAGAAGAAACACUUGAGAAGAGUUCAAGAGUUAAAUUUUAUAGAUGCAUGUUAUCUUCAAAAUGAGGGACCUGUCAACUUUUACAAUUCCAAGAUCAGGAAAUAAUUCAUGAGCAG